Oncorhynchus gorbuscha (pink salmon) is the source of this 380-nucleotide long non-coding RNA. RefSeq lists it as uncharacterized. The transcript has 3 exons. The record is from RefSeq and is a predicted model, not a curated record. Lineage: Eukaryota; Metazoa; Chordata; Actinopteri; Salmoniformes; Salmonidae.
GAGAGUUUGAUAAGGUCAUUCGCAGACUAAGAGAAAACCCAAAUGCAAGGGUGGUCAUUAUUUUCGCCAAUGAGGAUGAUAUCAGGCGGCUACUCCAAGCAGCCAAGAAGGCCAACCAGACUGGCCAUUUCAUCUGGGUGGGCUCAGACAGCUGGGGCUCAAAGAUCUCUCCAGUGUUACACCAGGAGGAGAUGGCAGAGGGAGCAGUCACCAUCCUGCCCAAACGUCAGUCCAUCAGAGGGUUUGAUCGUUACUUCAUCAGCCGCACACUGGAGAACAACAGGAGGAAUAUCUGGUUUGCUGAGUUCUGGGAGAACAACUUCGCCUGCAAGUUGAGCCGACACGCUUUGAAGAAAGGGUCCGGGCUGAAGAAAUGUACA